RNAcentral lists this ribosomal RNA (200 nucleotides) under uncultured eukaryote. RNAcentral's name for it is "partial 18S ribosomal RNA". It matches the Rfam family "Eukaryotic small subunit ribosomal RNA", at positions 587 to 797 of the family's 1831-position model. The record is from RNAcentral.
AGCUCCAAUAGCGUAUAUUAAAGUUGUUGCAGUUAAAAAGCUCGUAGUUGGAUCUCAGGGUGAGCUCAGUUGGUCGGCCUAAUUGGUCAGAACUGGCUGUCUCUCCUUGUUUCUGGAUCCUUCCGGAGUUAAUUCUUCGGUUGUGGACUUCAGAUCGUUUACCUUGAAAAAAUUAGAGUGUUCAAGCGGGCGUUUGCUUG